CUUCCAAUCUCAUGCUGAUGCAACGGUUGAAAGCUCAAGCAUGGAAAUCCUGCGAGUUGUAAACAAAGAUUUGAACAAUACCAGAUGAACAAAAGUGUCACAAGUGAACCACGACAGUCUCCAAUCUCACAGUUCAUGGAGAACCGUGUAGGGCAGUACAGCAUGAAUCAUUCACAGCAGAAAGCUAUCAACAAUACAAUACUGUCUGACCUGGUUAUCGAUUGCAACUUGCCUCUGUCUAUUGUGGAAAACAAGAGUUUUCAUCACUCUCUGUCAGUGGUUGACAGUAAGUACAGCCCAGUGUGUCGUAGAACAUUGACAUCAAAAGUAGAGAACCUCGCUACAGAGAGACGUUCAAAACUGAAAACUCAGUUGAGCAACACAGACCAUGUUUCAGUCACAGUGGACAUUUGGUCUGACCGAAAGAUGAGGGGGUUCCUUGGUGUCACUGUGCACUGUAUGGAGAAAGAUGGAGAGAGGAUACAGCUCAAGUCCAAUCCCUUGGCCUGUGACUGCUUCAAAGGCCCACACACGGCCGAAAGAAUCUGUGAGCAAUUUGAGGCCAUAUGUGGUGAGUACAGCAUUAAAGAUAAAUUGGACUAUAUCAUUAGUGACAAUGCUGCCAACAUGAGAAAAGCAUUCACUGUGUGCUUCCCCAUUGAACAAGAAGAUGAAGUACAUGACGAAAAUCACCUUGAUGACCCAGAGCUCUGGAAUGACCUAAACCUGGAAGACCAGCAAACAGUGGAUGCUGCAAUUGCAAAAAAAAACAGCACUUGCAGUGUUUUGCCCACUCUCAAGCCAUUUGGAGAAGCAACAGAUAUGACACAGGGGGAGAAGAUAGUCACAAUCAGUUCUGUUGUUCCCUCUGUCCUGUCCCUGAAUCACCACCUGGAGCAGCGGAAGCCUCAAGUCCAUUUCCUGAGCGGCCUUGUCAGAAGUCCCCAGGCAUCCCUGAACAAAAUAUUUAUUGGAAUCUUCAUCAAUGUGAAAAUGGCCAGGACACAAGAUGCCCCCUUUUCAGAUCCAAUCUACCUAAAAGCAGCUGCCUUGGAGCCUGCUUUUUCUCUGAUGUGGGUGGAGCACCAUGUUCUGGUCAAGGAGGAGGUCAAGGAGGAGGUGGCACAAAGAGUGAAAGAACUGAUGCUACAGGGACUGAGCAAGCUGUGCCUCUUGUUGAUGAGGAAGAGCGAGAGGUCCAUAGUCUUGGACAAGAAGAAGGGCUGUUUGCAGCAUACUGUAAGAAGCUGUUGGGACCACUCCAGCACUACAGCUAAGUCACUACCUUGACAUAUGCGAAGGACAGAGCGCCCUCUUGUUCUGGGCAAUGAACAGGAAGGCUCUUCCUUCACUGUCCUGAGUGGCCAUCAGGGUCUUGGCAGUUACUGCCUCCAGUGCUCCGGUGGAGCGUGUCUUCAGCCAUGGUGGUAUCAUCCUUCGGCCUCAUCGUGCACAAAUGACUGACAGACUUUUAUCGAAUUUGGUCUUUUGCAAAUGCAAUGCAUCAUAGGGUCCUGAGAUAAAAGAAACAUUUUCAUUUUAACUGUAUAUGCAUUACACACACACACACACACACACACACACACACACACACACACACACACACACACACACACACACACACGUAGUCACCAUGUUCAGGUUUUAUCUCCCAUCUUUGGGAUCUGUAUUUUCUUCUCAGACAUUCAGGCCAGUGUUCAAAUUGUAGGCCUACUUGAAGUUCCACAUCAGUUGUUUUGAUAUAUCUUUUAAGAAAUGAUUGUAAAGUUAUGGCAGGAUUGUUUUAGGUGUCUAGAGUAUAUCUGCAGACAGAGAGAGAGCACUACAAUAUUUUGUUUUUGUUUUCAUAUUGAUGUGUCUUUCUCAUAGCUACCCAUGUAUUUCCAUGGAAAUAUAAAGUUUAUUUGGGAAGAAAUAAAUAUAUAUAUUUUUAAAAGCAUUCAUGAUUUGCGUAAAUUUAAUAUACUAUUACUCUUGUUAAAUAUGAAAUGGUAUUAAAUUUGUUGAAGAGCACAUUAUGACUUGGAG
This is a long non-coding RNA of Oncorhynchus tshawytscha (Chinook salmon), 2028 nucleotides long. The record is from Ensembl. Lineage: Eukaryota; Metazoa; Chordata; Actinopteri; Salmoniformes; Salmonidae.